RNAcentral lists this small nucleolar RNA (269 nucleotides) under Chinchilla lanigera (long-tailed chinchilla). Lineage: Eukaryota; Metazoa; Chordata; Mammalia; Rodentia; Chinchillidae. The record is from RNAcentral.
AGCGCUUAGAGGAGGAGCCACGCAGGGUUGGUGGCAUCCUGGAGCACACCAGACUUGCCGAAAAGCAUACUCCAGAGGAAGCUGAGGCAUGCCUGCUCGAGAACCAGUGAUUCCAUGUGCAGUGUUCCUCUGAUAGUUUCUGGGUACUGUUGCCGUGGGAGUAAUGGCUGUGCUGUGUCAUUAUCAAUCCACCGACAGAGCAGCUUUGCAGUCAGGAUAUUGUUUAGCGGACUAGUGGGUUCUGUUGGACGCUAAGUACUGCUACAAAG